ACACUCCUGCGGGAGGCAGCAGUGGGGAAUAUUGGACAAUGGGCGCAAGCCUGAUCCAGCCAUGCCGCGUGAGUGAUGAAGGCCCUAGGGUUGUAAAGCUCUUUCACCGGUGAAGAUAAUGACGGUAACCGGAGAAGAAGCCCCGGCUAACUUCGUGCCAGCAGCCGCGGUAAUACGAAGGGGGCUAGCGUUGUUCGGAUUUACUGGGCGUAAAGCGCACGUAGGCGGACUAUUAAGUCAGGGGUGAAAUCCCGGGGCUCAACCCCGGAACUGCCUUUGAUACUGGUAGUCUUGAGUUCGAGAGAGGUGAGUGGAAUGCCGAGUGUAGAGGUGAAAUUCGUAGAUAUUCGGAGGAACACCAGUGGCGAAGGCGGCUCACUGGCUCGAUACUGACGCUGAGGUGCGAAAGCGUGGGGAGCAAACAGGAUUAGAAACCCCAGUAGUCCCAUG
This 450-nucleotide ribosomal RNA is filed under the name uncultured organism. RNAcentral's name for it is "partial 16S ribosomal RNA". It matches the Rfam family "Bacterial small subunit ribosomal RNA", at positions 333 to 799 of the family's 1533-position model. The record is from RNAcentral.